Aegilops tauschii subsp. strangulata is the source of this 4408-nucleotide non-coding RNA. The record is from RefSeq and is a predicted model, not a curated record. NCBI's taxonomy places the organism in Eukaryota, Viridiplantae, Streptophyta, Magnoliopsida, Poales, Poaceae.
UGCUACCUGACAGGCGCGUCUCCGGCGGCCCCAGGUUCGUCCCUCUUUACUUUUUGGCCUCCGCCAGAAAAGGGGAUUCAUCGAGAUGGUGCUUCGAUCCAAUCGCGAUUCCUGCUUUCAAACAGAUAGAGAUCAAGCAGUGCGGCGGCGGCGGCUAGGAGCCACGAGCGCGACGUCGCCGGCGAUGGCUCGGAGUCACGAGCGCGACGGCGGCUGGGAAAGGACUGCAGCACUACUACUUGCGGUGACAGGAUGGUGCGUGUGCCGCCCCAAGGCCGGAGCCCACCUAGCCAUGCAAGCACCCGAGCUGCUUCCUCCAGUCGCCCCCCUCCAUAGCUACAUCUUGGUGCUAUUGGGGCAUAUUUUUUCAUGGUUGGAAUCAAGAUGUUGUUGUUGUUGGAGCUCACAAGAAAGGUAUUAUGAUAGUGAUUAGUGAGAGCAGCGAUGGUGUGGACGGGCUCGCGCGCUCCUGCUAGCUGGACGAACCAAUCGAUGACACGGCGUGUACUGUAUUCAAUGCGAGCGUAUGGAGACAGGCCGACUGCAUACGGCCAGGAGUAACGUGUGAAGACGGAGCCGGGUAAAAUAACGGGUAAAUUCCAGACCAGGAUUUUGAUGUUCCGUUGGUACAGGUAUGUUGGCAAUUAUAUUGUUGUUAUGAAGAUCGCGACGACGGGACACGAUGAAGUCGAGUUCUUGUCAGAUCCAAUCAACAGGUAAACUUUGCCAAACCCAUUUUCUCUUCUCUGUGGUAGCCCCUGCAUCUAGACCAUCAUCUUACUCAUAUACUGCUUAAUUUAUAAAAGAUUUCUCCUUUUCCGUACAUCGGUUUAUUCAAAACGUUUUAUCUUUUAGAUCGUGCGUUCAAAUUUCUAAUGGUUUUCUCAUUGGAUUCCUCACGUCGAGAUCUUCAAAACUAAAUCUCAUGUUGAUAGGUUCUGACAAACUUUUUUUCGCGAAAAAACCGGUCGAGAAAAACCAAAGGAAAAAACCGAACUAGGAGCAUGUUUUGUUUUUCCUUCUCGAAAGAGGCGCGUGCCUCUCGCGAAAGCACAACUGUGCCUUUUUACGGAAGCAAAAUCGUGCCUCUCGCGAAAGGAAAAAAAACGCAUUUUUUUCGUUUUUCGAGAGGCACGGCCGUGCCUCUCGCGAAAGGAAAGAAACAUGUUUUUUUCUUUGUUUCGGAGAGACGCGAAGCAAAACCGUGCCUCUCGCAGAAGGAAAAAAAAGAGGAAAUGCAUUUUUUUCGUUUUCGAGAGGCACGGUUGUGCCUCUCGCGGAAGCAAAAUCGCGCCUCUCGCGAAAAGGGGAAAAGAAAAGGAAAACACAAUUUUUUUCCGUUUUCGAGAGGCAUGGUUGUGCCUCUCACAAAAGCAAAACACUACCUCUCGCGGAAGCAAAAAAAAAAAGGAUCUUUCGGGCAAAAAAAAUUAAAAUUGUUUUGUCCAAAACCUAAGGUAGACCGGUGAAAAACCGAAAAGUCAUGAAAACAUGAAAAAUUUGUUCAAAAAGCCAAAAACGCGUGCGGAAAAAUAAAAAUAAAAAAAUCCGGAGGGAGCGCUCAGAGCGCGACACGUAGCGGCGGCUAAGAGCGCGCCCCAGUUUAUUGUUGUGAGGCUCCCGAAGGAGCGCUCGUCAACUAGUUGCUCUCUUGUUUACCUGGACAACCUUGUAAUUUUGGUCAUAACAACGUAAACAAGGCCCAUAAACACGUCAAGCACACACAUAAUAACCAUCCCUUUAUGUACAUUUUUGCUGAUUUUUCCUUGGUGUUUUUUCCAAUGUUGAAAAUAAUGGCAAAAAGAAAAGAACUUUGUGUUGUUUGGCGCAUCCAACUGCUACAUACAAACAUUCAGGACGAAAAAUAUGUGACAUUUCCGCAUGCGAAAAAAUAAAAUGAAUUCAAACACCAACUGUUACCAGGAAAAAAAUAUCUCCUAAUGUUUUUCCACCAGCAAUAUACGCCUGCUCCAUUUCCCUUUGAAAAUUUCAUGUACGCUCUUUCCACUAACACUAGCAUUUAAAACAAGUGACGUGUUUCUUUUUUAGUAUAUGCGAGUACAAUUUUUUUCCACUACUCACACUUGCCUUCCCGCUCUCGGUGCCAAAAAAGACCGUAAUUAAAAUGUUCGCACGGUGCAUAAUUUAAUUUAAUUUUGGCGUGAAGGCAUACUGAAGUUGUUGAAAACAAUUUUGCUGUGGUAAAUGAUAAAACAUGGCAGCUAAUUCACCAGCAAUAGGUCAGCCCAGUAUUUGCACUUCACCCAAACACUCCCUCGCGCGGCCACCUGUGCUGAUAUCUCUACCUACUAAUAAACCAGCGAUCACUUCUGGUCGUCCGUCGUUAGUACUUUUGCAAAAAAGUCCCUGUACUUUUGGGUAAUCAACCAGCAGUCCACGAUUAAGUGAAUAACGUUUCGCUCAGCACGUUUUACAUAAAAACACCUCAUAUUUUACAUAAUCAGCCCGCAGUCCAUCACCAUCUCUUUCCUCCUGAGUCCGGGCGCUCCAAGCCGGUUCCGAGCGAGAUGGGGCCGCUAUGCAGACGAUGCCGGGCGCGGCGGCGGCGAUCUCCGGCCAGAUCCGGUCGGGGAGGCGAGGCAGGGGCCGGAUCCUGUUCCGGGGACGGCGUGGAGGCGAUCUACGAGGCGCAGGAGGAGGUCAGGCGGUGGGGCUUGAACUCCAGCGGGCCCCCUUUUGAUGGACGGGGCCGCCCACAUCGCCAGCGACUCCCCGGAGGACGACAGGGCCUCCUCCUCCGCGUCCUCUACCGGCUCGGCCUCCUGGCGCUCCCGGCCGCACAAGUGGAUUCACCUGCGGCAGCGCCGGCGACCGUUGUCCGCUCGGAGAGGAGAGGGCGGCGAAGCCAACGGCAAGGGCGACGGUGACGACGUGCAGGACCUCGCGCUGCCGCUGGGGAGAUGUCCUUCACGGCGGUUCUCGCCCAGUACAUGCCUUUGGAAAACCAUGGCCAGUGUUGUUUCCACCGGACCGGGUCCUCUCUCCGCUGUUCUGAUCUAAUGUCGACUGCGUGCCGUUGGCUUCCCAUGCACAAGGUCCUACCGGCGGCAUUGGGCACCACGUGGGAAGCGGAAGGAGGAGCCGCAACUCUCCAUGCAAGCUCGGGUCAAUGUCAUCGCAAGUUCCGUGCUCGGCAUUGCUGUUCAAUCUUGCCUCAGCUGAUUUCGCCCGCCGUCUGCCUGAUGCUCCACACUUUGCCGUAACUCAAUCUGCCGGUUCUCCGCUUGAGGUACGUACUGAAGCUAACCUUGCAAGAGGCAGGCAUGGGAGGCAUGAUUGUUGCUGAAGCGGAACUCAUAAAUGUCUCACGUCAUGUGGUUCUGUGCUAUUCUUAAUCUUCUUCUCUGAAGUGUGUAGUUUCAGUUUCACAUCAAAUGUGUUGCGCUUGCAGUGCGUACCAAUGUACAGUUUAUCGAUGUGUAUAUAUGCGGAGUCGAUGGAAAACAUUGAAGCCAGUAGUUGUAUACCUAUUUCAAAAAUCAGCAAGUGGUUAGUAACAUUCUACAUCAAGGUAUUACAGAGAGAAAGGAGUAUCUCCUAUUUUAUUUUUGUGGGAUCGGGAGCAAUUUAGAAACUUAUGAAAAUAUAGGAAUCAUUCUCACUUUAAUCUCCAGUCCUCUUGUUUUGCUUCAUUUAUCAUGCAUUAUGCAUGUCAUAUGUUCCCACAAAUGCCUGGCAGAAGCACAACUUUCAUAGGGAACGUAGAAUGGUCACUUUGGUAGCAGGGCAGAUGCACGUUCCCAUUGUAUAUGUAAAAUUAUAUGCAUAUCUAGCCAUAGAAAUACAUGCAUCUGAACCGCAUCGGACAUAGUGUCGGACUGCCAGCCUAAAAUAUUCCUCUUUAUAUCAUUCUCCAUUUUUGUGAAUAUGCAAAUAUAAGUGCCAUGUAUGUGCUUGUGGAACUUUUGCUGUAAAAUUUCACGCUUCUUUACGAAAAGUAGGUUGAGAAAGUUUUGAUUUUUCUUGGAUAGGUUAUCAUAUGACAGAACGUCUGGGGUGAAAGCUAAGCUACUUCCAAUGGUCCCAAAUGAGAAGGCAAGAAGGUAUCAGCUGUAUGAGAAGAGCCCCGCCCAUGCCCAUUCCAUUCUCUAUGAAGUCAAAAGUUUCCCACUGAAUAUAUUUGGUACUAAAACGGUCGUUAUGUCAGCACCACGAUCGUGUGCCAAUUGUUGGCUCUUAAUUCUUUAGGAUUAUUUGAUUUGUUUGAUUCAUUCUGUUCAUAUUUAUGCAGCAACAAAAUACAUUCAAGAUCAGGGUGUGUGAGGGUUAAACAUGUUAAUUUAUGUGGCAUCAAGCUAUGUAUGUUGAUAGCAUGAUCUCCUUUUCUUUUGCUUUGCAGAAUUAUUCUCGACACUGGAGAUAUAUGCUAAUCCUCUAGCUUUGCUAA